This is a long non-coding RNA of Passer domesticus (house sparrow), 274 nucleotides long. RefSeq lists it as uncharacterized. The transcript is spliced from 3 exons. NCBI's taxonomy places the organism in Eukaryota, Metazoa, Chordata, Aves, Passeriformes, Passeridae. The record is from RefSeq and is a predicted model, not a curated record.
GUCAUGCAGGGCUUCUAGGCUUUGAGUUGCUCUCAUCAGCAGUGCAAGGUCACCUUCUCCAACCUGCUUUUCACAGAGGGCAGGAAACACAAUGGUUUGAGAUAAAGCUGCAAAAAGCAUCCCAGAGUUUUCAGCCCUGCCAUCCAUCCCUGUGAUGAAACCAUGGCACAUAACCAAGUCCAUAAACAGAAAACUCCCUCCUCAUCUGCAAAAACAGGGUGCAGGCCAGGGAUGUGAUGCCCCAAGGGAAUCAUCCUCAGGGGGUGGGCACUGG